RNAcentral lists this ribosomal RNA (301 nucleotides) under uncultured bacterium. RNAcentral describes it as "partial 16S ribosomal RNA". It matches the Rfam family "Bacterial small subunit ribosomal RNA", at positions 509 to 807 of the family's 1533-position model. The record is from RNAcentral.
CAGUAGCCGCGGUAAUACGGAGGGGGCUAGCGUUGUUCGGAAUUACUGGGCGUAAAGCGCACGUAGGCGGCUUGGUAAGUUAGAGGUGAAAGCCUGGAGCUCAACUCCAGAAUUGCCUUUAAGACUGCCGAGCUAGCAGGUGAGAGAGGUAAGUGGAAUUCCGAGUGUAGAGGUGAAAUUCGUAGAUAUUCGGAAGAACACCAGUGGCGAAGGCGGCUUACUGGCUCAUACUGGACGCUGAGGUGCGAAAGCGUGGGGAGCAAACAGGAUUAGAGACCCGAGUAGUCCCUGUCUCUUAUAC